UGAUUGAUAUCAUUGCGUGCUGAUUAGUGUUGCAAUCAAAGACCCCCAAAUUGGUGCUGUCAUUCUGCCGUAUUUAUAUUCCUAAGACCUCAAUCAAUCCCCACCACAACUCCUCCCUUCUCUUUCAUUUUAGUAGUUGACCAUUUAGCUUUCUAAAUUUACUCUUGGGAAGAUCGUUUUUGUUCCGUUGGUAUCAACUAUCAAGCAUGGAAGAUCGCAAAGAGAAAAACGCUCCAUGGCUAUCGGUACCUCAGUUUGGGGACUGGGACCAAAAGGGACAGCUCCCAGAUUACUCUUUAGACUUUUCAAAAAUCAGGGAAAUGAGGAAGCAAAACAAGAGGGAUGUUUCAAGAGCCAGUCUUGGAAAUGAAAAUGACUUCAUUAACCCAACCGCCACCAACAAUCACUCCCCAUCUGUAAGAUUCCCCCUC
Molecule: long non-coding RNA, 431 nt
Organism: Hibiscus syriacus
Lineage: Eukaryota; Viridiplantae; Streptophyta; Magnoliopsida; Malvales; Malvaceae
Exons: 3
Source: RefSeq, a predicted model, not a curated record